ACUGCAGGAGCUCCGGCCAAAGCAUUGCCGAGGACCCGUCCCCUAUCCUGCACCUGAUGUCUGUCUGGCUCUCUUUCCCUCUCUCUCUCUUUCUCUGCCCCUCUCUGCUGAUGUUUCUCUCCCUCUCCUUCUCCCCUCUCCUCCCUCUCUCCCCCCUCUCUGUUCUUGAUUUGGUGCCAGAAGCUUUGCCAUUUUCCCACCGUGUUCCAAGGUGUGGAUCCCGGGACAAACGCCGCUGCCUUUUAACGGACGGAGGCAAACAUUCCACAGCAGAGGAAUCUAAAAUUCAGUCUUUAAGGUGUCCGCAAACCAGCCGCCUCGACACCCGUGGAGCUUUUUCAGAAAUGAAGCCCCCGCUCAGACUUUGGGAAUCAGAAUCUGCAUUUUAACCAGAUCCCCAGGGGAUUUGCAUGCAUUUUAAAGUUCUGGAAGCACCCUCUCAAGUGUCCCUGUCUUUGAGACUCGGUGAAAAGGGACGGAUUCAAGCCCCUGGAGUGGCAACGGUUUACAAAUUCCGAUGUCUUGGUUGGAGACUCCAUGGAGAGCCCAAGUGAGUCAUUGCGGCGUUCCAGCUGGCGGCCGGAGCGCGCUGUCACAUGCUGGGCCACGCCGGUGGAGGGCCGAGCUCCAGGAGCAGCCUCGCCAUCCCCUUAGCCUCCAGCAGGGCCCCCCCGCACCCCCGCCUGGUGCUGAGGGCUUCAGACAGCCUUGCCGAGUGCCUUCCAGCCCUCAGUCACCAUGACAGUUAUCACAGGUCAUGAGAGCGGGACGCUUGCACGCACGGGGGCGGGGGGGGGUCCUCCCACCCUGGGAGCCCCGCGGCGGCACCUGGGGUCCAGCCAGAAGCCUCUGCAUCCUGCCCAUCCACAGGACAAGCACCCCCAUACUGGGGGUGCAGCCCCUACCCCCCAGGGCGUGGGAUCUUCCCUGGGCAUUUUCCCUGGGAGGCCCUACCUCCUGGUUCUCCCUCUGGGAUUGCUUGGCUUUUUUUACCCUUGGGCCCCUGCAAUAAUCCCCCCACCCCACCCUGCUCUACAAGUCCUUUGGCUAAAAGGCAAAAUGACCUGUGUUGAACUGUACUUUUUAUAGACUACCUUAAAGCAGUUGACACGUUGACUACCCCUGCGAGCCCAUUUGCUACCCCUCCUACCCCGGGCCGGGAGCUGACCCGGCCCCCAUUCAGACGGCUGUUGGCGGCAGGUGAGUCUGGAGGCCAGGACCUCAGGCAUGGGCACACGUCUCUCAGCGCUUCUCUUUUCUCUCACAGCCUCGAUCGCUGACUGUGUGUCAUUACACACGGGUGUGAGAUUGGUUUCCUUGACUCUGCCCACUAGACUACAAGCUUCCCGAGGGCCGGGUCUGGGUGGGUCUUGUUUGCGGCUGUAGCCCCAGUUUUGGGCUCAGUGUCUGGCUCAUUGAGAUCCUCAAGAGCUCUUCACUGAGCCCGUGGAGGUAUAAACGGAAUGACUCCGUCACUAUGGGGACUCGAAGGCUUCGGGUGAGUUCUUGCACGGUACUGAGAUACGUGUGUGUGUCUGUGGGUACAGGGGCUGGGGGUGGAUUUCCCCCAAAUACAGCCCUCAGAGCAGGGUAUAGCAUUGUGCCUGGGACGUGUGGUCCAGGGUGCACCCGAAACACGCAGGGUCAGCCCUUGUUCGUCUGCUCCUGCCGCAGGUCAAUCAGCCUCAGGCACCGAGCAGACAGCACUCAAUUACAGGCCAGCCUUUGUGGUCAGAGGCUCUGGCUUGCCUCUGAAACCGUCCCAAAACUGGGGAGGGCCGAGCCCCAGCUCCAGGCACACAGGCUGGCCAGGCCUUGGGGCACGGCGUCCCCCUGAGGGUGGGUGAGCGGAAAGGAUGCGUGCGUCUUCAGGGCCUCCAUGGUGGAGGUCAGUGUGGAUGAUACGGGUCGGUCCCUAUCCUAGCUCUGCACCAGGGCUCACCUACACCCAGGAGGCCUGGCUCUUCGAACACGGGUUGGGGGUGCGCUAUGGCUGACUCCUCCCCUCUCUACAUCCCAGAUCUCAGGCUGUACACUCAUGAUGCCUUCACCGGCUCGUGCCUUUCUGCUGGCCUGAGACGCAGCAUCUUCUCUCAGGCUGCAGGCCGUGCUCUGAGGCAGUUAGGGGCCAUUUAUUCAUCCCCAAUGUCCCGUCUUACCGUGGAUGAAGGAAAGUCCUCGGGACGGCAGCGGAUGGCGCAAAGUAGAAGCUGGUUCUCGCAGCUGGCGCAGCCAUAAGACACAGGGGAGCAUUAGCGUCGGCGUCAAGGCUCAACGCGAUCAAUGGUUCCGCUGUGGGCGGAAAGGCACUCUUUCCUCAGCACAGAAGGGAUGUGUAAACUCAUUCACCUACAAGGAAGCCCAUCGUGCAGUCUUCCAGGGAGGGACAGGAUGCUGUCAUGUUUAAUCAGGAACUGGCAGAUUUUAGGGUUCUCUUCCGAGAUACAAGAUGAUGUGCCACGAAGGGCUAAACUGUGAGCAGACAGAGUUUCGGGCUAGAGAGUUUGAUAAAAUCAGUGGGUCUGGAGUAGGUGGAGGGAGCUUUACUGAACAUACAGGCCUCGUAAGGCCCCUGACUUCUGAGUAGCACUUUCGUGAAGGCAGGAAAAGACAGAGCAGCCUUUCAGGAAGAAAGCUGAGUGUCCGCCAAGGGAAAUGUGGCGUGUUUGUGUGCUGCGGACAGCCUUACAAUGUCGUGGGAGGAUGUGUGCCAUGGGUCACAGCCCGCAAGGCCAGGCCCCACUUGGGUGCACAAGGAGGCAGUGUUCCGUCAUGCCUGGGCAAGGCACCUGGAUUGACCGUGCACACUGACGUUUGCUUCCCUGUGAUGGGAGCUACUAACCAGGCUUUGAGUUAGUGUUUCCAAGGGACUUCCAAGGACCCAGCAUCAGAGGAAGUACAGGAGAGAAAAAUACUACAUUAUCAAAGGAAAGAUGGGGCUAUGAGCCUCUCUGGCCAUUUAAAAUAGCAAAAUUAUGCUCUAAGCUCUAAAUACGGACAAUAUGAACUAGAGUAUAUCAGGGAUCCCUUGUGUAAAGAAUACAAGUAAAAACUAUAACAAACUGUAAGCAAACAAAAACACAUAGCUGGAUUUACCUUUUUAAAAUUGGGAGGAGUAAGACAAAUCUGCCUGCUUCUUAUUUCCCCCACAUUUAUUUGCGAUUCUCGGUACCUUUCUACUGAUCAGAAGCCUCUGCUUGAGAACUGCCCCUGGCGAGGAUGUCUCUCUGCCUGAGAAGCAGUUUUAAAAGCAGAGCUGACUUGGAAUUUCUACCUGCUUCCUCUCUUCUCCCCAUCCAGCUCAUAUCCCAAGCUUGGCCUGCUUUCAAAUCAAAAAAAGACUACCAGCAAAUAAGAAGUGAUACUUGUCACUUUAAGAAAGUCACAAAAACACCUGUCAAGUCAUUAGGAUUAAAAAAAAAAAAAUUCUUGGGCGUCUGGGUGGCUCAGGUGGUUAAGUGACUGCCUUCAGCUCAG
This is a long non-coding RNA of Ailuropoda melanoleuca (giant panda), 3477 nucleotides long. RefSeq lists it as uncharacterized. Lineage: Eukaryota; Metazoa; Chordata; Mammalia; Carnivora; Ursidae. The transcript is spliced from 3 exons. The record is from RefSeq and is a predicted model, not a curated record.